RNAcentral lists this small RNA (29 nucleotides) under Bombyx mori (domestic silkworm). RNAcentral's name for it is "ovarian small RNA-15790". Lineage: Eukaryota; Metazoa; Arthropoda; Insecta; Lepidoptera; Bombycidae. The record is from RNAcentral.
GAGCCGAGAACAUAAACCGUGCCUUCGUU